UAUUUUUUUUCCAGAAUUCAUCCAGAAUUACCAUAGGCCCAUUAGAAUCAACAAUCUUUGCCAAACUUGAUUCGGACUGCAAAAUUUACGAAGAUGUUUUCAUACUGAAGAAGAGACCUUGGACAAAUACUGAAACCCUCUUGGUGCCCACUACACAGGCAGGGGUGUCCAGACCUGCUCUAGGAAAGCCAGUGUUCUGUGGGGUUCAGCUCUAACACACCUGCCUGGAACUUCAGACUAAUGAAAUUGAAGUAUCCAAAUGAAGACCCUAGCAGUAUGGAGUAUAUGGAUACAGACGUUGCCAGCAGUCAGGAGGUGAUCCAGAAGACUCAUGGGAAUCUAUUUGAAGCUGCAUCAUUGAAGACAGUCCAGCAGAAGUUGGAGUUUUAAAGGAUAAAGUUCUUCAGGACCUAUAGCAGUUUACAGUCUGUAAAACCAUGUUACUGGGACUGAUUUAUGGACUGAACUUGAGCAACCCUCCUGAACUCAGGUACACAUUUGGAAUACUGAAGAAGUUAUUUCUGGAGCCACUUCCUGUUCCUGGAAUAAGGUUUGAUUGGUUGCCCAUGAAUGCCAAUUAGAAUUGUAUUUGCUAUUUUGUGUAAUUUUGUAAUGUGGUUUAAA
Molecule: long non-coding RNA, 624 nt
Organism: Carassius auratus (goldfish)
Lineage: Eukaryota; Metazoa; Chordata; Actinopteri; Cypriniformes; Cyprinidae
Exons: 4
Source: RefSeq, a predicted model, not a curated record